Molecule: transfer RNA, 74 nt
Filed under: Actinomycetota bacterium
Lineage: Bacteria; Bacillati; Actinomycetota
Description: tRNA-Cys
Rfam family: tRNA
About the family: Transfer RNA (tRNA) molecules are approximately 80 nucleotides in length.
Source: RNAcentral
CGCCCGGUGGCCGAGGAUCAAGGCGCGCGGCUGCAGACCGCGACACGGGGGUGAGAGUCCCUCCCGGGCGUCCA